This 440-nucleotide ribosomal RNA is filed under the name uncultured bacterium. Its description in RNAcentral is "partial 16S ribosomal RNA". It matches the Rfam family "Bacterial small subunit ribosomal RNA", at positions 338 to 795 of the family's 1533-position model. The record is from RNAcentral.
CCUACGGGAGGCAGCAGUAGGGAAUAUUGCUCAAUGGGGGAAACCCUGAAGCAGCAACGCCGCGUGAGGGAUGAAGGUUUUCGGUAUGUAAACCCCUUUUGGUAGGGAAGAAAAUGACGGUAUCUAACGAAUAAGCACCGGCUAACUACGUGCCAGCAGCCGCGGUAAUACGGAGGGUGCAAGCGUUACUCGGAAUCACUGGGCGUAAAGAGCGCGUAGGCGGGAUAGCAAGUCAGAUGUGAAAUCCUAUGGCUUAACCAUAGAACUGCAUUUGAAACUGUUAGUCUAGAGUAUGGGAGAGGUAGGUGGAAUUCUUGGUGUAGCGGUAAAAUGCGUAGAUAUCAAGAGGAACACUCAUUGCGAAGGCGACCUACUAGAACAUAACUGACGCUGAGGCGCGAAAGCGUGGGGAGCAAACAGGAUUAGAUACCCUAGUAGUC